CAGCCGCCGCGGUAAAACGUAGGCAGCGAGCGUUGUUCGGAAUUACUGGGCGUAAAGGGCGUGUAGGCGGCCUGGGGCGUCCCAUGUGAAAGGCCACGGCUCAACCGUGGAGGAGCGUGGGAUACGCUCAGGCUAGAGGGUGGGAGAGGGUGGUGGAAUUCCCGGAGUAGCGGUGAAAUGCGCAGAUACCGGGAGGAACGCCGAUGGCGAAGGCAGCCACCUGGUCCACUUCUGACGCUGAGGCGCGAAAGCGUGGGGAGCAAACCGGAUUAGAUACCCGCGUAGUCCCUGUCUCUUAUAC
RNAcentral lists this ribosomal RNA (301 nucleotides) under uncultured bacterium. Its description in RNAcentral is "partial 16S ribosomal RNA". It matches the Rfam family "Bacterial small subunit ribosomal RNA", at positions 509 to 807 of the family's 1533-position model. The record is from RNAcentral.